AGGCCUUAGGGUUGUAAAGCUCUUUUACCCGGGACGAUAAUGACGGGACCGGAAGAAUAAGCCCCGGCUAACUCCGUGGCCAGCAGCCGCGGUAAUA
Molecule: ribosomal RNA, 97 nt
Filed under: uncultured bacterium
Lineage: Bacteria
Description: partial 16S ribosomal RNA
Rfam family: Bacterial small subunit ribosomal RNA
Source: RNAcentral